CAGUGCUUAUCCUACUUUGCUAAACAUUUCAUUAAACAAAACCUCAAGAAGAACUGAAAAACCAAACAAUACCUAAACCCAAAAUAAAUAAAUGAAUAAAUAAGCACACACAGAUACAUCUCUACAAGAAGAAAAAUGAGGAUUCAUGAUCGUAUUUCAGAAGACAAACAACUGGAUAUUGUUUUGUAGCAAAAAAAUGUCAUGCAGGGAGUCAGAAGUAGUUUUCCAUUCUGUUUCUGGUGUCAACUACCUCUCUGACACCAGCAAAUAGUUUAGUCUACCUCUACUUCCAUUUCCUCAUCUGAAAAAUGAGGAUUGGUCCCCAGUGCCUUAUUUAGUUCAUUUGGUGAAGUCAUGAUUUCCUGGAUGUUCUCGAUGCUUGUUCAUGUUCAUUGGUCUCAGGGCAUUGACGAGGCAGGCACUAAUUUAUCAGUCCUUAUGUGGCACCAAAUCUGAACACAGCCAGAUAUAGAUGGUCUGUGAUAGAAGAAACCAGAUGGUCUCACUGACCUCACCCCAGGUACUGUGCUUUUGAUAUUAUUCUAGAAUGUGGUCUUUAUAAUUUGGUUUCUGUAGCAUCCCAGGGACAAGUUCACAUGUGCUGGUGUGAGUUUCAUUUUGCAUGUGCUGCUUUAUCAUGAACAUGGAAGACAUACUAGGUUUCUGUAGUAGAAACACUCCAGCCUCUUCCAAAGCAGAAGGCCCUGGGCUGUGUACCUUCAAAGAGAAGCAAACAUACAGAGCUUUUAACAGCUCUGACUUCUGGGAUUGGAACACAUUGCUGAAAUCACUUCUGCCCUGAUCCAACAAUUCAUUAUCUCCCAGAAACAGUGGCUUUUAUAGCUGCUAUGGGGUUGCUAUAGUCUUCUAGAAAGAAGGAAUAAUCUCAUUACAGACAUGAAUGCUCAAGCCCUUAUAUUAAAAGCUUUAGACUUAAUUUUAUUUGUCUAAAUCUGUAAUCAAUCUAAGAGUGGGAUGGAGAUAUUUUUAUGAAACAAAUUUAGAAAAGAGCUAAUUUUAUUUUAUACAAAACAAAAUUGGCCCUUUAUAAUAAACUCCCCAAAUAGUCCAAAGAAUGAAUUAUAUUUUUAUUUCCUCAUUACACAGCUGGGAAAUUAUUGAAAUGAACAUGAAAAUCUUGAUUUCAAUUCGUACUUGAUAUGUAAAACAAGACCUUGUAAACUUCUAACAUUUUCCAAUGUAUAAGUCUGUAAUAAUUUACCAAGGACACCCUACUGCCCUAGAAUUAUUUUGAAUCUCUUUAUUGAUGUAAUCAGAUUAAUUUAACAAUGAAAAUUAGUCCCAACUUUAGAGAUGGAAUCAACACAAGUCAAGAGUAUUGUCUGAUUUGCCUGAGGCCUAUUUUCACCCAUGGAAUAAAUGGCACCAUUGGUGGUUAUUGAGUAGGUAAAUAACUACAGGUCAUAUCUGAAUCUAAUGAUAGGAGUAAUUUCAUCAAACCUAAACUUGAAUGAUAGCAUUCCACAGAAAUGGGGAGGUAGAAAAAAGUUAAGUAUCUUGAUUUGUAAGACAUAUGUAUAUACUCAAUUAGUGUCUACACAGGGCAAUUUUAUUUAGAACAGUGGGGUAAGGGGAGAAGGGAUGAGAGGAUACUAUGGAGAAUAGAACUAAGUCAGAUUAAAGGAGAAUGGAGCCUAUGAAAAGAUCUCUAGUCAGUGUGUGAGAGUGAGUGUGUGUGUGUGUGUGUGUGUGUAUGUAACAGGGAAAUGGUUACCUAACUCAGGCUCUGAAUUAUGAACCUUGUGUGAGGUAAGGUUUUACUUGUGGUAAAAUACCCUGGGAAUUGA
This is a long non-coding RNA of Sapajus apella (tufted capuchin), 1808 nucleotides long. RefSeq lists it as uncharacterized. The record is from RefSeq and is a predicted model, not a curated record. The transcript has 3 exons. NCBI's taxonomy places the organism in Eukaryota, Metazoa, Chordata, Mammalia, Primates, Cebidae.